UAAAAGCAAAAAACACCACUCCCCAUAAUAAAUUAAGGGACCAGCUCUGAUUUAUGAAGGUGUUUGCAUUUUUUUCCAUUCAAACUCAGAAGAUACAAUGCAAGAAAUGAAAGGCUUAAUGCUUGUAGAAAAGCCAAAUCUUUUCACCUUUUCUCAAGUUCAUCCACAAAUUUAAUUUUGGCUAUUUUAUCCCUGUUGCCAAACUUAGUGUCAAUUCUAUCCAAGUUUUUCCAAUUGAACAUUUGACUCCAUUUUAAAACUUGUACGCUUCAUUCAGGCAUUUUAACUAUCUGAGAGAGGUGAAAGGUUGUAAUGAACUAUU
RNAcentral lists this unclassified non-coding RNA (322 nucleotides) under Hevea brasiliensis (rubber tree). The record is from RNAcentral. Lineage: Eukaryota; Viridiplantae; Streptophyta; Magnoliopsida; Malpighiales; Euphorbiaceae.